RNAcentral lists this ribosomal RNA (468 nucleotides) under uncultured bacterium. RNAcentral describes it as "partial 16S ribosomal RNA". It matches the Rfam family "Bacterial small subunit ribosomal RNA", at positions 28 to 507 of the family's 1533-position model. The record is from RNAcentral.
GACGAACGCUGGCGGCGUGCUUAACACAUGCAAGUCGAACGGAAAGGCCCUGCUUUUGUGGGGUGCUCGAGUGGCGAACGGGUGAGUAACACGUGAGUAACCUGCCCUUGACUUUGGGAUAACUUCAGGAAACUGGGGCUAAUACCGGAUAGGAGCUCCUGAUGCAUGGGGGGGGUUGGAAAGUUUCGGCGGUUGGGGAUGGACUCGCGGCUUAUCAGCUUGUUGGUGGGGUAGUGGCUUACCAAGGCGUUGACGGGUAGCCGGCCUGAGAGGGUGACCGGCCACAUUGGGACUGAGAUACGGCCCAGACUCCUACGGGAGGCAGCAGUGGGGAAUAUUGCACAGUGGGCGGAAGCCUGAUGCAGCAACGCCGCGUGCGGGAUGACGGCCUUCGGGUUGUAAACCGCUUUCGCCUGUGACGAAGCGUGAGUGACGGUAAUGGGUAGAGAAGCACCGGCUAACUACGUG